CUCGGUGCUUUUCGGGCGUUGCAGCAGGACUGAGCCAGAGUCCUACUGCAUUAGCUGACCUGCAGCAGCAUGGCAGGAUCUGUUAGCAGCAGUCCUGGCAGCGGCGGCAGGCCAACGCGCCCGAGGCCGCGGACGCCGGCGUCGCCGGACGCCGCCCGCCCGCUCGCUCGGCAGCGCGGCUCACGCGGCUCUGGACGAGCCCCGUGCAGGGGAACGCGCAUUUUUUUUCUUAUUUUUUAAAGAUUACAAACUUAUUGGAUUAGACACGUAGAUUAAGUUACUUCGGUGGUGGUUAGAGUAUUGAUAUAAAUCCGUUCCUGUGAAGUGAAGACACCUCACAUACUCACACUUUUCCGUUACAUGUAUUAUUAAGUUACAAUUAUAAUGUAGUUCGAAUGUAAAUACAAAUAAGUUUGAUAAUACCUUACCAGUCAGCAGGUUUAUUGAGUUACAGUUAGUUUUGCAGUUAUUGUUUUUAUUAUAUAUGUUAAGUUUAGUAUUUUCUAUUUCCACUCCGCUAAGACAUCUUGUUAAAGUUUGUUGACGGUAAUUAAGACGUUUUGUUACAGAAUAAAUGAGUUGUGAUUUCAUA
This is a long non-coding RNA of Trichoplusia ni (cabbage looper), 592 nucleotides long. RefSeq lists it as uncharacterized. NCBI's taxonomy places the organism in Eukaryota, Metazoa, Arthropoda, Insecta, Lepidoptera, Noctuidae. The record is from RefSeq and is a predicted model, not a curated record. The transcript is spliced from 4 exons.